UGAGUACUCCCUCCGUUCGGAAUUACUUGUCACAAAAAUGGAUGUAUCUACAAUUAAAAUAUAUCUAGAUACAUUCAUUUCUUGGACGAGUAAUUCCGAAUGGAGGGAGUACAUG
This is a non-coding RNA of Triticum aestivum (bread wheat), 115 nucleotides long. The record is from Rfam. Lineage: Eukaryota; Viridiplantae; Streptophyta; Magnoliopsida; Poales; Poaceae.